This 155-nucleotide ribosomal RNA is filed under the name uncultured Ceratobasidium. Its description in RNAcentral is "5.8S ribosomal RNA". It matches the Rfam family "5.8S ribosomal RNA". From Rfam's summary of the family: 5.8S ribosomal RNA (5.8S rRNA) is a component of the large subunit of the eukaryotic ribosome. It is transcribed by RNA polymerase I as part of the 45S precursor that also contains 18S and 28S rRNA. The record is from RNAcentral. Lineage: Eukaryota; Fungi; Basidiomycota; Agaricomycetes; Cantharellales; Ceratobasidiaceae.
AGUUUCAACAACGGAUCUCUUGGCUCUCGCAUCGAUGAAGAACGCAGCGAAAUGCGAUAAGUAGUGUGAAUUGCAGAAUUCAGUGAAUCAUCGAAUCUUUGAACGCACCUUGCGCUCCUUGGUAUUCCUUGGAGCAUGCCUGUUUGAGUAUCAUG